GUGCAGCAGUCGAGAAUCUUCGGCAAUGGGCGCAAGCCUGACCGAGCGACGCCGCGUGCGGGAUGAAGGCCUUCGGGUUGUAAUCCGCUGUCAGAGGGGAGGAAAUGGCGGCCCUCAGGGUCGUCUUGACCAAACCUCAGAGGAAGGACGGGCUAAGUUCGUGCCAGCAGCCGCGGUAAGACGAACCGUCCAAACGUUAUUCGGAAUUACUGGGCUUAAAGGGUGCGUAGGCGGCCUGGCAAGUUGGGUGUGAAAGCCCUCGGCUCAACCGAGGAAUUGCGCCCAAAACUGCUAGGCUUGAGGGAGAUAGAGGUGAGCGGAACUUGGGGUGGAGCGGUGAAAUGCAUUGAUAUCCCAAGGAACACCAGAGGCGAAAGCGGCUCACUGGGUCUCUUCUGACGCUGAGGCACGAAAGCUAGGGGAGCGAACGGGAUUAGAUACCCACGUAGUCC
Molecule: ribosomal RNA, 452 nt
Filed under: Planctomycete enrichment culture
Lineage: Bacteria; Pseudomonadati; Planctomycetota; Planctomycetia; Planctomycetales
Description: bacterial SSU rRNA
Rfam family: Bacterial small subunit ribosomal RNA
Source: RNAcentral